RNAcentral lists this small RNA (107 nucleotides) under Marmota monax (woodchuck). The record is from RNAcentral. Lineage: Eukaryota; Metazoa; Chordata; Mammalia; Rodentia; Sciuridae.
GCUGGGCACAGUGGCUCACACCUGUAAUCCCAGCAGCUUGGGAGGCUGAGGCAGGAGGAUCACAGAUUCAAGGCCAACCUCAGGAACUUAGUGAGACCCUGCCUCAA